AAAAAAAAAAAGCUCAUGUGUUUAUUUAAAUAAACUCUCUAAGACUGAUAAUACUAUAAUAAAUUUGUAUCUAUGUACGUAUGCUUGUAUAUUAUAUACCUGCUUGUCUAUGUCUCACUAUAGCAGGAACCACUCAGGUUUGAAUUUCUAGCUCCUAGGAAAAUAUCUGACACAUGGUAAAUAAGCAAUAAACAUUUGUUGGAUGAAAAAAUGCUACCAUUUUAUUCCACAGGGCAAAUGACUAUCCCCAUAAUGGAACUAGAUCGAGAAUGAUUAUCUAAUGAUUCCUACAUACCAUCUCUGCUACUCUCCAGCUUGGUAGCCUCCUCCACCCAAUAUAUGGCUAGACAGAAAGGACCUGGAUAACCAUGGAAAAAGAAUGUUCCUAAAGGGAUUCUUAACACCAACUUUUUAUUCCACCAAGUUGGACAACCAAGAUUUGGCAGCCUCUGCAUAUACGCUUACAUAGCUGAUGUAGUGGCAAUAAGUGUUUCUAGAAAUGAGAGUUAGGAAAAUUUAUCGUCAGAGGUUAAGGUUGCCAGAAUUGCCAGCUACAAUAUUUCAAAGAUAACCAUAAGCAUCUGAAAGACUAAAUUAUUAUGGCUAGCUUCAUUCCUUCAGAUACCCUCUCCAAUGCCUAUUCUCUUUUCUUCAUUAAGCAUCCUAGUUCUUUUUUAAUUCCUCCAGCAUCGAAGCAGUAAACUUUGAUCUGAGGAGCCCCAAAAAUCUGACCCUAGGGUAUAUAUAAGAAGUCAUUUAUCCUGUGCCUAGCACACAGGAAACACUCCAAGCAAAGCAGCUGACUCAACAGCAAAGACUUACAGACAAUACAAAAUCAUGGCUUAGAGAUAGAAGGCAGCUUAAAGUUUAUCUUGUUCAAACCUUUUCAAUUCAAAGAUAAGGAAAUUGAGGCUCAGAGAAGUGAUUUGUCAAAGGUUGCCUAAGUUAGAAUUCAAGCCCAGGACUCCCAAUUCCUAAGUCAGCCUAUUUUCAUUAUAAAAAGCUGUCUUCAACUAAUGGUAACUUUUUAUUCCAAUGUUUUCCUUUGGGAUGCUCUAAGUUUCAUAUAUUGUCUUACUAAAACAUGUCAUGUAGCCCCUACAAUUAACAUGCUCAAACUAUUCAUAAGAAAAAGAAAUUAGCGAGACCCUGGGUCAGCAAAUAAUGUACAACCUGGGGGUAAUCUAAUGCAGAGUGCAGAAACUGUAGUGUAUCUGAUAGUGCAAGCACAUCACAGGUGUGUAGAGAUACUGCUUCCAUUCACUCUCUGGAUGCUGAACAAGGCUGAGGCAGAACUCCUAGGCUGGUAUCUGCUACCAGCUGCCUUGUCCAUUUACCUUGGUGGGUGAUAAAAAUAUUAUCAUUUUCUAUGUAAGCUAUGAUGUGAGAAAGACUGGAAGCACUGUACUAAUACUAAUGUCCUCGAAUAUUACAUGAUACAACACAUGAAUGCUAUUCACAGCAUGGUCAAGGGAGUUCAUGAAAUCAGAGAAUCUUUGAGCUAUAUAUGCACUGACUUGGAUUUAAGGAUGAUGAAGAUGAUUUGGAUAUGCUUAUCACCUAAUUUUUGUUUAUUCCUCUCUCUUCCCCCGAAUUGUUUAAAAACAAAACAAAAAAAGGAACAAAUUUUGGCUGAAGAUGAAGAUGAUUUGGAUAUGCUUAUCGUCUAAUUUCUGUUUAUUCCUCUCUUCCCCCUGAAUUGUUUCAAAAAUACAAAAAAAAAGGAAGAAAUUUUGGCCAUAUGAUCCAAAUAAUUCAACAUCUGAGUAUUAUAUUUUCUCCUGUCCUUCCACUAUCAUCUUAAAUACUGAGAAAGGGAGUAAAUAUCUAACUUUCAUGAACGGUAUGUUCUCUAAAUACAGGAACUGUGCUGCUCUUCUACAGUGCUGAGGCAAUGCUGGGCUUGGAUCUGCCUGGGCCUUACUAGCUGAAACAAGGGACAACAAAUGGAUGGACUGAGACAAAAGAAAUGCAUUUAAGUACGUGUUGAAUGGCCUAAGACCAGAAACGGGUACUGGAGAUACUGCAGUGAAAAUAAGAGAUGAAGCUCUUGUCUCCUGGAGCUUUCUCCUAAAGUAGAGGAAGACAGAUAAAAACCAACAUAUAAAAGAUCACGGAUGUGCAACAAGAUGAAGUGAAUCUGGAGAACAAGUGAACUAGGAAUGAAGCUGGAAAAAGGAAGAAGUGCAAAAAGUCUGAAGAGAGGAAAAGGUUUAAACAAUCAUUAAGUACCAUGGGAGAAUGGGUACACUAGGGAAUGUUUUAGGAUUGCUUGGCAGUGCCAAGGGUAUUUGAGAUUCUUAUUGAAGAAAGUAAGAUUAGUCCACUUGAUUAUCUUUUUCUCUAGUUGUGUUCUGUUACUGGGGAAUAGACAUAAUAUAGUUUUGAAAUGAGCAAAUAAUUAGAUCUAACCAGGAUUGGGGUUUUACUAGGGCAGGCAUUGGUGCAGUGUGAGUUUUCAAAUUUUUAAUGAAGAGGGUCUGUGGUCAAAACAAAUUUCGGAGGCUAAGGAUGAAAAAGCACUAAGUACUACUAAUACUGAUGAUCUAAAAGAUACUUGAAAAUCUUCCUAACCUGUCCACGGAACAGUUGUAAAAAGCCACUACAUAUUAAUGUCACCAAGAAAAUUCUAAUAAAUUCCUUAUGCUAAUAUAUCUAACAAUCUAACUACUAUGCAACAAAACAACUAAAAUACCUAAUAAAGGAAGAAACAUAUAAAACACCCAGACAUUUGGAAAAUAUAUAUCUAUAUAUUUUA
This is a long non-coding RNA of Cercocebus atys (sooty mangabey), 2758 nucleotides long. RefSeq lists it as uncharacterized. The transcript has 3 exons. The record is from RefSeq and is a predicted model, not a curated record. Lineage: Eukaryota; Metazoa; Chordata; Mammalia; Primates; Cercopithecidae.